AAGUAAGUGUUAAAUUAAGAGAAUGCAACUAACACCGAAAGAAAAAUGAAAGUUACUGAAAAUAAAAAACUUUAUUGCAGUACCUACAUACACUUUCUACAUCUAAUUUUGUUUAUUGAUCACAUUCAUUUACUUGAAAAAGUAUCAGGCCUAUGAAUCGUCGUCUGGAAACAGCUAACCACACACCAACCUUCAUUGCGUGUGAUGGUGUUUCUUCAAAAGCCCUAACAGAUGAAACCAGGCUUCAUCAGAAAAGAACGACAAAUCGAGAAUCCCGUUAUCGUCCAUAUCAGCUUGAAACCAACUACAAUACCCAACGCGGCAAGGAAAAUCAGCUGGUUGCAGCUCCUGAACCAACAAAAUCUUGUAUGGAUGCAUAUGUAACUUCUCUUUUACGAUUUUCUGACAUGGGCUGUAUGGUACUCCGGACAGUAAAGAUUUUUGACAAA
Molecule: long non-coding RNA, 449 nt
Organism: Zophobas morio
Lineage: Eukaryota; Metazoa; Arthropoda; Insecta; Coleoptera; Tenebrionidae
Exons: 2
Source: RefSeq, a predicted model, not a curated record